RNAcentral lists this unclassified non-coding RNA (257 nucleotides) under Hevea brasiliensis (rubber tree). The record is from RNAcentral. Lineage: Eukaryota; Viridiplantae; Streptophyta; Magnoliopsida; Malpighiales; Euphorbiaceae.
GCAAACUUACUCCUAUGUACAGCAAGAGGAAAGUUGCAGAAAUGCUAUGGUUUACUCUUUACCAGUUGACAAAGCCAGACUAAUAGCUGCUUCCUCAAAAGAAUAAUCACAAGCAUCCGAUAAGGAUCAUUUAUACUGUGAUUAUUGUGGCAAGUCGAGACAUACGAAGGAACAUUGCUGGAAAUUACAUGGUCGUCCAACUAAAGGGCGUGGAGAAAAAAGGAUGAGCUUUACUAGAUCACAAGCAAAUGUAUCUG